CAAGGGGUAGUUUAAUUAGAAUUUCAGCUUUGGGUGCUGAAGGUGGGGAUAUGAGUGCCUCUUCCUUGA
RNAcentral lists this transfer RNA (69 nucleotides) under Otolemur garnettii (small-eared galago). RNAcentral describes it as "tRNA-Pro". The record is from RNAcentral. Lineage: Eukaryota; Metazoa; Chordata; Mammalia; Primates; Galagidae.